Molecule: ribosomal RNA, 472 nt
Filed under: uncultured bacterium
Lineage: Bacteria
Description: bacterial SSU rRNA
Rfam family: Bacterial small subunit ribosomal RNA
Source: RNAcentral
UGGGGAAUAUUGCGCAAUGGGGGCAACCCUGACGCAGCCAUGCCGCGUGAAUGAAGAAGGCCUUCGGGUUGUAAAGUUCUUUCGGUAGCGAGGAAGGCAUUUAGUUUAAUAGACUAGGUGAUUGACGUUAACUACAGAAGAAGCACCGGCUAACUCCGUGCCAGCAGCCGCGGUAAUACGGAGGGUGCGAGCGUUAAUCGGAAUAACUGGGCGUAAAGGGCACGCAGGCGGUGACUUAAGUGAGGUGUGAAAGCCCCGGGCUUAACCUGGGAAUUGCAUUUCAUACUGGGUCGCUAGAGUACUUUAGGGAGGGGUAGAAUUCCACGUGUAGCGGUGAAAUGCGUAGAGAUGUGGAGGAAUACCGAAGGCGAAGGCAGCCCCUUGGGAAUGUACUGACGCUCAUGUGCGAAAGCGUGGGGAGCAAACAGGAUUAGAUACCCCCGUAGUCCCUGAGCGGGCUGGCAAGGCGCAU